RNAcentral lists this ribosomal RNA (377 nucleotides) under uncultured bacterium. Its description in RNAcentral is "bacterial SSU rRNA". It matches the Rfam family "Bacterial small subunit ribosomal RNA", at positions 523 to 898 of the family's 1533-position model. The record is from RNAcentral.
AAACGUAGGUGGCGAACGUUAUCCGGAUUCACUGGGCGUAAAGAGUGCGUAGGCGGUUCGUUAAGUCGGAUGUAAAAUCUCCAGGCUCAACUGGGAGGGACCAUCCGAUACUGGCGAGCUUGAGUGCAUCAGAGGAGAAUGGAAUUCCCGGUGUAGUGGUGGAAUGCGUAGAUAUCGGGAGGAACACCAGUGGCGAAAGCGGUUCUCUGGGAUGUUACUGACGCUGUUGCACGAAAGCGUGGGGAGCAAACAGGAUCAGAUACCCUGGUAGUCCACGCUGUAAACUAUGGACACUGGGUACAGGGAGUAUCGACCCUCUCUGUGCCGAAGCUAACGCGUUAAGUGUCCCGUCUGGGGACUACGGCCGCAAGGUUAAA